UACGUAGGGUGCGAGCGUUGUCCGGAAUUACUGGGCGUAAAGAGCUCGUAGGCGGCUUGUCGCGUCGACUGUGAAAUCCCGCGGCUCAACUGCGGGUCUGCAGUCGAUACGGGCAGGCUAGAGUUCGGUAGGGGAGACUGGAAUUCCUGGUGUAGCGGUGAAAUGCGCAGAUAUCAGGAGGAACACCGAUGGCGAAGGCAGGUCUCUGGGCCGUAACUGACGCUGAGGAGCGAAAGCAUGGGGAGCGAACAGG
Molecule: ribosomal RNA, 253 nt
Filed under: uncultured bacterium
Lineage: Bacteria
Description: partial 16S ribosomal RNA
Rfam family: Bacterial small subunit ribosomal RNA
Source: RNAcentral